Molecule: long non-coding RNA, 154 nt
Organism: Diprion similis
Lineage: Eukaryota; Metazoa; Arthropoda; Insecta; Hymenoptera; Diprionidae
Exons: 3
Source: RefSeq, a predicted model, not a curated record
UCAGAGUGUUUGUGGUCCUAUUUGCAAGAGUGAGCGCCUUGCUGGAAGCGUAAUUAACAAGGCUGUGCAUAUAAUAUCUAACUGGGAGGACGAUACCCUUCGCAGAUUGCCGGCGAAACGACUGCAUGCAACACGCGAUUCUGUUGCAAAUUUU